This 87-nucleotide transfer RNA is filed under the name Gammaproteobacteria bacterium. RNAcentral describes it as "tRNA-Ser". It matches the Rfam family "tRNA". Rfam says of the family: Transfer RNA (tRNA) molecules are approximately 80 nucleotides in length. Their secondary structure includes four short double-helical elements and three loops (D, anti-codon, and T loops). Further hydrogen bonds mediate the characteristic L-shaped molecular structure. tRNAs have two regions of fundamental functional importance: the anti-codon, which is responsible for specific mRNA codon recognition, and the 3' end, to which the tRNAs corresponding amino acid is attached (by aminoacyl-tRNA synthetases). tRNAs cope with the degeneracy of the genetic code in two manners: having more than one tRNA (with a specific anti-codon) for a particular amino acid; and 'wobble' base-pairing, i.e. permitting non-standard base-pairing at the 3rd anti-codon position. Lineage: Bacteria; Pseudomonadati; Pseudomonadota; Gammaproteobacteria. The record is from RNAcentral. RNAcentral also lists the same sequence under 2 other names.
GGAGACGUGCCAGAGUGGUUGAAUGGGCCGGUCUUGAAAACCGUUAGGGUGUCAAAGCCCUCGUGGGUUCGAAUCCCACCGUCUCCU